RNAcentral lists this long non-coding RNA (675 nucleotides) under Homo sapiens (human). RNAcentral's name for it is "HSALNT0056244". Lineage: Eukaryota; Metazoa; Chordata; Mammalia; Primates; Hominidae. The record is from RNAcentral.
CGACUAUGAACUAACUAACCACAAAAAGUUGGAGAUUGGUUCAAAGCACAGGAUUCAUGAGGCUUGAAUAUGUUCUAACCUUGGCAGAAGGCGUUCCUCACUCAUUUGGGGAUGACAGAUGGAUGUAGCUGAAUCUAAGAAGAUGUGUACUUGUCCCAAAUGUGCAGGAUAAAUAAAUACAGAAGUCACCAACAGAAGACUCAGUCAAUGCUAGUGUCAGAGGCAUGUGAACCAGAGCAACUCCAUCUUAAUUAGUAGCUGGGUAAAAUGAGGCUGAGACCUACUGGUCUGCAUUCCCAGAUGGUUAAGGCAUUCCAAGUCACAGGAUAAGAUAGGAGGUCGGCACAAGAUACAGGUCAUAAAGACCCUGCUGAUAAAACAGUUUGCAGUAAAGAAGCUGGCUAAAUCCCACCAACACCAAGAUGGUGAUAAGAGUGACCUCUGGUCCUCCUCACUGCUACACUCCCAACAGCACCAUGAGAGUUUACAGAUGCCAUGGCAAUGUCAGGAAGUUACCCUAUAUGGUCUAAAAAGGGGAGGCAUGAAUAAUCCAUCCCUUGUUUAGCAUAUCAUCAAGAAAUAACCAUAAAAAUGGGUAACCAGCAGCUCUCAGGGCUGCUCUGUCUAUGGAGCAGCCAUUCUUUUAUUCCGCCACUUUCCUAAUAAACUUGCUUU